Non-coding RNA from Corylus avellana, 611 nucleotides. The record is from RefSeq and is a predicted model, not a curated record. Lineage: Eukaryota; Viridiplantae; Streptophyta; Magnoliopsida; Fagales; Betulaceae.
UAAAACUUCUCUCUCUGUUUUUUUUUCUUCUCUCUGUUUGGUAGAGAAGAAACGGGCCUUGGAAGGUUCAAGGGAAACACCGAAACGCUCCGUGGACGAUCAGCCUCCAGUUUGAACAUGGCUGCCAAGUACAUCGUACCUGCUAUCAUGGGAUCAUUUGCAAUCGCAUUUGUAUGUGACCAUUAUCUUGCUGAUAAGAAGAUAUUUGGAGGUACUACUCCAAAAACUGUUUCAAACAAGGAAUGGUGGGAAGAAACCGACAAAAAAUUCCAGGCAUGGCCUCGUACUGCAGGUCCACCAGUGGUCAUGAAUCCCAUCAGUCGCCAGAAUUUCAUUGUUAAGUCCCGCACUGAAUCUUGAAGAUUUCAUGCUUUCAAUUAAUUGGUUCCCUCCUGCUCUGAUAGAACUUCCUAGUCCUAAACUAUGUUCUUCCUUUUUGAUGCUUGGAAAGAUAGAUCUGAAUAAAUGUCAGAAAAUCUUGUGUUUCUUUCUUUCUUCCAAUUUUUAUGUUCGGUGUGCUACUUGUAAUCUAAUUACAAUAAGUUCUGCCUAAUAAAUUUUCAGCCAGGUGUGAUUAUGACAAACAAGAAUGAGUGAGUUUCUUCUGUUUC